UUUCUUUUAUUUUUUAUUCUUUUGUUAUUUUUUUCCCCUGGAGAUUCAAGCUGGGAGAGAAAGGAGAGAUUCAGUGACAAGUUAUCAAUAUUUUCUAAAAGAAACCUAGCCAUUUAGUAAUAGAAGAAGGGUGUUGGGAAAAAGAGGCCGUGGAAUAAUAUUGGCGCCCCCAAUAAAUCCGUGAUCUGCUAAACAUCUUCUGGGUUAGAAAAUAGAAUUGAUCUGAAUUCCACAGCUGUGGCUUCUUCAAGAAGGCCCACCAGCUCUGCUGGAUUCCAGUUACCAACCAAGCCCUGGGCAGGCCCUUCAAAUGCAUCAUGGUCUUGUUUCUAUCCCCAGGCUGGUAAGUCAGUUACAUAAAAUUACAUGUUGUUUUCAGGAACCUGUAUUUGUGAUUUGAAGUUGGUCACUCCUUAAUUGGCUAACAGGUAUAAUUCUAGAAUUUUCCUAAUUAUUCCCAUGAAUAUAAAAUGUUUUGAACCUUGUAGGAUUUUUUUUUUUUUUUUUUUUUUCUCUAGGACGUGAUUUACUCCUGGCUGCUCUUUUUAAAAAAAUAAACUGGAUGAUGACCAAAAUCGUAGGAUGAAAAAAUAGCCCUGAUGAAAGUGUUCUGGACAACUCUUCCAAAGCAGCCACUGGAUUAUGGGAAAAGCAUUUACAGGGAGAAAGCACAGAGCAUGAUUUUCCAUGAAUAUUCUGAUUACAUAUACUAAUUCCAUCGUCAAUGCUAAGUACUUGGAAAAAACCAAAAAUGACAUUUUGCCCCCCAGUGAUCUCAAGACAAAAUCAGGUUAAAAUCAACACAAGGUCAACUUUGAAAUGGGGAAAGAGGAAAGUGACGUCACAAAAUAAACAUCAAGUCUUGUGUACAAGCAUCUGCAGAAGAGUUCAGCCUCACCACUUGGGUAAUGCUGUUGGAAUGUGGUCUGGGUUCACUGUGUUUGAAUGUAGGGCCAUUUAAUAUCAGCUAGUUCAGGAC
This 979-nucleotide long non-coding RNA is filed under the name Rhinopithecus bieti (black snub-nosed monkey). RNAcentral's name for it is "lncRNA (ENSRBIG00000046499.1)". The record is from RNAcentral. Lineage: Eukaryota; Metazoa; Chordata; Mammalia; Primates; Cercopithecidae.